This is a long non-coding RNA of Myotis davidii, 2571 nucleotides long. RefSeq lists it as uncharacterized. The transcript is spliced from 3 exons. The record is from RefSeq and is a predicted model, not a curated record. Lineage: Eukaryota; Metazoa; Chordata; Mammalia; Chiroptera; Vespertilionidae.
CUCCUCCCCGGCCUCCCUCUUCCCCAGCCUCCCUCCUCCCAGCCUCCUUCCUCCCGACCUCCUUCCUCCCGGAGACAGCAGGGGCCUCCUGCAGGGGCUCUCCCUCUGCCGGCAGGUUGUCCUCCCCUUGGCCCAGGCUGUGUUCCUUGGGAACUGGUCCCUGACCGCAGGGAGCUCGGUGCCCGUCCUGCAGCGAGGCAGGGCCAGGUCUCAGCCUGCUCAGCACCACGUGCUCUUUGGUCUUCACCGGCUUCGGCACCACCGCACUGGUCUUCCUGCCGGCACCACAGCUGACACGGGCUCUGUCUCAGAGGAAAAGGGGCCGUGCUUUCCACUGGCCAGAAGGAAGAGACGCCGUCUUGGCCUGGCUGCUCCCGCCCGUGUCGCCCCUAAGAGAGCACCGUGUGCUCCGCUGUUCUUACACUGUCUUUGCAAUGAUGUAAAUGCAAAAAGCCACCUGGCUGACAGCGAGUGACUGGUCUUACCGAUGUGAAGGCCUUUUAAACAUAUCAAGACUCCGGUGCAUCACAGGUGUGCGUGGGGUGGGAGGCCAGGGGCUGUGUUCCCUCAGCUUUGUCUUAAAGAGUAUCAAUGUGAAUGUCAUAAUUAUAUCUAUUUUUGUGGAAGAUUUCUCCUAAGUAUAAGUUAUUGUGCAAAAUAUAGUACCAUUGAAACAAAUGAUAGUUUUAGUUUAGAAAUCCUAAAAGAUAUAAAUUGUAUUACAUAUGCAUUAAAAGUUUGUUUUAUUUAAUUUUAUGUAGCUGUGUAAAGUGUUAGGUAAAGUUUUUCUCACUUCUCCAUUGAAACACCUUGUUACUUGAAUGUCGUGCUGGCUGGUUUGAAACAGUGAUCAGUUCUGUAAUGCAGUUCUUACCCAGGAAGCCGCCGCCUCUGGGACUGGUGAGCGCGGCCAGGAGCCGAGGUCGGGCGGCACCGCUGAGCGGGCUCGCUGUGUGUGCCACCCCGACGCCAGUCCCGUGAAAUGCUUUGAUAGUUUUUAACCUGUAAGACCCUUUGAUGCUCACAGACCUCUGAUCAGAACGUGAGCAUGAGAACACAGUUGGUUUACAGCUUGACUCUGCAGGACAAAGUAAGCAGUUUCCUGCGUGUGUAAAGUUUCCUCACAUGUCACGCGCCUGUGAGUGUGCUCGUUGUCACUUUACAUUCCUACUCCCCCUGUUUUCGUCUUUCUGAAUAUCACAUGUACUGUCGGUAUAACCGUGCACCAAAAAUAAGCCGCCAGUGCGUCCCACUGGCCGGACCUGCCGGGGCACAGGCGGUGGAGCUGCCUUCCUCUAGCCCCUUGCUGAACCCUAGGACCCAGGAUUCAAGCUUUUGUUCUGUUUUUCUGCAUUAUUUUAUUUAUAUUCAUAUCUGAAUCCCAAAUUUAUAAAACAGCUCUACACCUGUAUUCCACAACUAAACAUGACACUUCCUUAAGUUAUUACCGUCACGCCAUCGAUGAGUUCGUUUUCAAGCCACGAACCAUGUGCCAGAGGGUCUUUCCUCUGCUUUGCAGGUAACGGCAUUGCCACCAACUGUGUUCUUCGUGGUUUGGCCCUUUGGCCAAAAAGGCGUAUAGGUCUUGUUUCAGGUUCAUUGUAGGAUGACGGAGAGCAGCGAUUUCAGUGGUGGCUCCCCGUCUGCCUCGGGAGUCCUGAAGGCUUCUUGUCCUUUUCCGGCUCCAUAUGGAGCGUAGCACCGCCCUCGGCCCAAGCGGAGCGACCCGCCCAGAGCAGAGAGCGCCCUUGGCUGCUUCGCUAGCUUCCCUCCCACCAGCCAGACCGUCCCGCUGGGCUCUGCUCCGCUCGGGCCCUUGUUUCCCGAAUGAGAAGGGGCUGGGGCUCCUUCCUCGGUGGCGGAGCCUCAUUGGACCCCAUCAACCGCUCGUGCACCCUUCACACGGACUUGGUUUUUAUCGUCAGGAGCCGAAAGGUUGGUCUUUGAAACACCUAAUAGUUCCCUUAUCUUACCCAAAAAAUUUCAAAAUAUGCAACAAUAUAAAAUUCCAGUUUUUCAUCCCUGGAAUAAAUGUAAUUACAGAUGCCUCACACUGUUCUGGGAAUAAUUCCCACGCCUCUGGACCAUGACGUUUUCCCUCCGCUGUUGUCUUCCCAGAGGAUGUCUGUCCACGCAAACACGGUUCCCUCGUCCCCCUCCAGGACACGCUUCACCGCCCUCCGCGCAGCCCGCUCUGGAGACGCGCUGGACUGGGAGGCCCGGGCCAGUGCACACGGCUGGGCGCCAUCAGGACCGCGUCUUCUGACACUUGUGGGUGUACGCGCUCAGUCCUGGAGGAAGCAAGUGGUGGCAGCGGGUCUAGGGCCUCGAGGCUGAGUGAUCCGCGCUGGCUCCCCCGCACCGGCCUGGGCAGACUGCAGGGCCCGGGGUUCUGGAGGUUGGGAAGGUGGUUCCCUCCUUCCUCAGGGAGGGCAGAGCCCCCACUUCUUCCCACCCCAUCUGCUUGGCGGCUGCCCCACCCCUACCCUCACCCCCAGGCACUCCUAAAGCCCAGACUCCAGCUUUUAAUCAUGUGCAGCUUUGCCUCAUGACGAGGCCUGAGAGGCCCAG